ACUCCAUUAAGCACAUGGCAGUAAAAUACAAUAAAAUACACAAGGUUACAUUAUUACAUAAAAUACAGACAUGCAACAUAUCCCCAGAUAGCUUAGGCCUGAGCGCACAUUAUUACUGAUUGGCUCUCAGACCACACACAGUUCCAUUGCCAUGAAGCCAAAGUCCUUUAUUACACGAAUAGGCUCCAUUGCAUAGCUAUCUGGGUUAAAUGAGUUCAUUCAGUAAAUCCGAGAAUCUACCGAACGCCAGGGCAGAAAUACAGGAAUAGACCUUUCUGCAUAGGAAAAUACAGUAUUUGAAUGCCCGUCCAUAGUCAAAAGGCAGCAGGUAG
Molecule: non-coding RNA, 332 nt
Organism: Pelobates cultripes (western spadefoot toad)
Lineage: Eukaryota; Metazoa; Chordata; Amphibia; Anura; Pelobatidae
Source: the annotation of a GenBank genome assembly